GUAGGUGGCAAGCGUUGUCCGGGAAUUAUUGGGGCGUAAAGCGCGCGCAGGCGGUUCGUUUAAGUCUGAUGUGAAAGCCCACGGGCUCAACCGUGGAGGGUCAUUGGAAACUGGAGAACUUGAGUACAGAAGAGGAAAGCGGAAUUCCACGUGUAGCGGUGAAAUGCGUAGAGAUGUGGAGGAACACCAGUGGCGAAGGCGGCUUUCUGGUCUGUAACUGACGCUGAGGCGCGAAAGCGUGGGGAGCAAACAGGAUUAGAUACCCUGGUAGUCCACGCCGUAAACGAUGAGUGCUAAGUGUUAGGGGGUUUCCGCCCCUUAGUGCUGCAGCUAACGCGUUAAGCACUCCGCCUGGGGAGUACGGCCGCAAAGGCUGA
Molecule: ribosomal RNA, 377 nt
Filed under: uncultured organism
Description: partial 16S ribosomal RNA
Rfam family: Bacterial small subunit ribosomal RNA
Source: RNAcentral